RNAcentral lists this ribosomal RNA (1044 nucleotides) under Pseudopithomyces chartarum. RNAcentral describes it as "partial 18S ribosomal RNA". It matches the Rfam family "Eukaryotic small subunit ribosomal RNA", at positions 76 to 1130 of the family's 1831-position model. Lineage: Eukaryota; Fungi; Ascomycota; Dothideomycetes; Pleosporales; Didymosphaeriaceae. The record is from RNAcentral.
AUACCGUGAAACUGCGAAUGGCUCAUUAAAUCAGUUAUCGUUUAUUUGAUAGUACCUUACUACUUGGAUAACCGUGGUAAUUCUAGAGCUAAUACAUGCUGAAAACCCCAACUUCGGGAGGGGUGUAUUUAUUAGAUAAAAAACCAACGCCCUUCGGGGCUUCUUGGUGAUUCAUGAUAACUUCACGGAUCGCAUGGCCUUGCGCCGGCGACGGUUCAUUCAAAUUUCUGCCCUAUCAACUUUCGAUGGUAAGGUAUUGGCUUACCAUGGUUUCAACGGGUAACGGGGAAUUAGGGUUCGAUUCCGGAGAGGGAGCCUGAGAAACGGCUACCACAUCCAAGGAAGGCAGCAGGCGCGCAAAUUACCCAAUCCCGACACGGGGANGUAGUGACAAUAAAUACUGAUACAGGGCUCUUUUGGGUCUUGUAAUUGGAAUGAGUACAAUUUAAACCUCUUAACGAGGAACAAUUGGNNNNNNNNNNNNNNNNNNNNNNNNGCGGUAAUUCCAGCUCCAAUAGCGUAUAUUAAAGUUGUUGCAGUUAAAAAGCUCGUAGUUGAAACUUGGGCCUGGCUGGCAGGUCCGCCUCACCGCGUGUACUUGUCCGGCCGGGCCUUUCCUUCUGGAGAACCUCAUGCCCUUCACUGGGUGUGCUGGGGAACCAGGACUUUUACUUUGAAAAAAUUAGAGUGUUCAAAGCAGGCCUUUGCUCGAAUACGUUAGCAUGGAAUAAUAGAAUAGGACGUGCGGUCCUAUUUUGUUGGUUUCUAGGACCGCCGUAAUGAUUAAUAGGGACAGUCGGGGGCAUCAGUAUUCAAUUGUCAGAGGUGAAAUUCUUGGAUUUAUUGAAGACUAACUACUGCGAAAGCAUUUGCCAAGGAUGUUUUCAUUAAUCAGUGAACGAAAGUUAGGGGAUCGAAGACGAUCAGAUACCGUCGUAGUCUUAACCGUAAACUAUGCCGACUAGGGAUCGGGCGAUGUUCUUUUUCUGACUCGCUCGGCACCUUACGAGAAAUCAAAUUUUUGGGUUCUGGGGGAGUAUGGUC